UUGGCUAAGAUCAAGUGUAGUAUCUGUUCU
Molecule: non-coding RNA, 30 nt
Filed under: Callithrix jacchus (white-tufted-ear marmoset)
Lineage: Eukaryota; Metazoa; Chordata; Mammalia; Primates; Cebidae
Also listed under: 4 other names
Source: RNAcentral